This 443-nucleotide ribosomal RNA is filed under the name uncultured bacterium. Its description in RNAcentral is "bacterial SSU rRNA". It matches the Rfam family "Bacterial small subunit ribosomal RNA", at positions 958 to 1397 of the family's 1533-position model. The record is from RNAcentral.
AACGCGAAGAACCUUACCUGGGCUUGAACUACUCGUGGUACCAGGUUGGAAACAGCCGGGGACCCGCAAGGGAGCGAGCAGAGGUGCUGCAUGGUUGUCGUCAGCUCGUGUCGUGAGAUGUUGGGUUAAGUCCCGCAACGAGCGCAACCCCUAUCUCAUGUUGCUAAUCCCGCAAGGGAUGCACUCUUGAGAAACUGCCUUCGAUAAGAAGGAGGAAGGUGGGGACGACGUCAAAUCCUCAUGGCCCUUAUGUCCAGGGCUACACACGUGCUACAAUGGUCGGUACAACGGGAAGCAAUACCGCAAGGUGGAGCCAAACCCUGAAAGCCGGCCUCAGUUCAGAUCGUGGGCUGCAACUCGCCCACGUGAAGGCGGAAUCGCUAGUAAUCGCGAAUCAGCAGGUCGCGGUGAAUACGUUCCCGGGCCUUGUACACACCGCAUAC